Molecule: long non-coding RNA, 209 nt
Filed under: Capsella grandiflora
Lineage: Eukaryota; Viridiplantae; Streptophyta; Magnoliopsida; Brassicales; Brassicaceae
Description: long non-coding RNA (CGRA_LNC001808)
Source: RNAcentral
GAUUCGUAUAUUCCACAGAUUUCGCUUUUCAUAAAAAUCCUAUAUUCAUCUUUCAAAUACGAUCUUAACAACCAAACAUACUCUAUGCUCUACUAUAUAUAUGACGCUAUGAAUAGAAAACCACAUCACCCUCACAAUCAAACAUACCACGGCUCAUUGAAAUGGCAGCGUCAUUUGCUUUCCUCAAGGAUGUUAGGCCAUACAAAACG